RNAcentral lists this ribosomal RNA (476 nucleotides) under uncultured bacterium. Its description in RNAcentral is "partial 16S ribosomal RNA". It matches the Rfam family "Bacterial small subunit ribosomal RNA", at positions 28 to 523 of the family's 1533-position model. The record is from RNAcentral.
GAUGAACGCUGGCGGCGUGCUUAACACAUGCAAGUCGAGCGAGUGAGUUCUUCGGAACAAUCUAGCGGCGGACGGGUGAGUAACACGUGGGCAACCUGCCUCAUAGAGGGGAAUAGCCUCCCGAAAGGGAGAUUAAUACCGCAUAAAAUUAUCGAGUGGCAUCACAUGAUAAUCAAAGGAGUAAUCCGCCAUGAGAUGGGCCCGCGGCGCAUUAGCUAGUUGGUGAGGUAACGGCUCACCAAGGCGACGAUGCGUAGCCGACCUGAGAGGGUGAUCGGCCACAUUGGGACUGGGACACGGCCCAGACUCCUACGGGAGGCAGCAGUGGGGAAUAUUGCACAAUGGGGGAAACCCUGAUGCAGCAACGCCGCGUGAGUGAUGAAGGUCUUCGGAUUGUAAAGCUCUGUCUUUGGGGACGAUAAUGACGGUACCCAAGGAGGAAGCCACGGCUAACUACGUGCCAGCCGCCGCCGUAA